GACUUUCCUUCUUGGAUACCAGCUGAGUGUGGUUACCUUGAGAACUGUGGCACUAGCCCCAUUAGAGCAUGCUCCACUGGGGAGUUCUGUGCGGUCUAUUUUUAAUGCUAUUUAAUGAAGGAGUGAGUGCCUCACUCAGCACUACAAGGAGCAGGAUGGAAGGCAGAGCUGGGCAUGGUGAUGGAUCCUGGGGAAGGAUGUCUGGAAAGGUACAGACUGGCUACAGGAGAUGG
RNAcentral lists this long non-coding RNA (233 nucleotides) under Bos taurus (domestic cattle). RNAcentral's name for it is "long non-coding RNA NONBTAT013521". The record is from RNAcentral. Lineage: Eukaryota; Metazoa; Chordata; Mammalia; Artiodactyla; Bovidae.